Molecule: ribosomal RNA, 388 nt
Filed under: uncultured bacterium
Lineage: Bacteria
Description: bacterial SSU rRNA
Rfam family: Bacterial small subunit ribosomal RNA
Source: RNAcentral
GGGUUGUAAACUUCUUUUAUAUGGGAAUAAAGUUUUCCACGUGUGGAAUUUUGUAUGUACCAUAUGAAUAAGGAUCGGCUAACUCCGUGCCAGCAGCCGCGGUAAUACGGAGGAUCCGAGCGUUAUCCGGAUUUAUUGGGUUUAAAGGGAGCGUAGGUGGACAGUUAAGUCAGUUGUGAAAGUUUGCGGCUCCACCGUAAAAUUGCAGUUGAUACUGGCUGUCUUGAGUACAGUAGAGGUGGGCGGAAUUCGUGGUGUAGCGGUGAAAUGCUUAGAUAUCACGAAGAACUCCGAUUGCGAAGGCAGCUCACUGGACUGCAACUGACACUGAUGCUCGAAAGUGUGGGUAUCAAACAGGAUUAGAUACCCUGGUAGUCCACACAGUAAA